This 208-nucleotide long non-coding RNA is filed under the name Salvia miltiorrhiza (redroot sage). RNAcentral's name for it is "long non-coding RNA (SMIL_LNC009374)". Lineage: Eukaryota; Viridiplantae; Streptophyta; Magnoliopsida; Lamiales; Lamiaceae. The record is from RNAcentral.
GUUGAGAUCUGUUGAUUUUGUUGUAUUUUGGCCGCAAAAAAUCCCAAAAGAGUCGCCUGAAUCCCCUUACGAUUUGCUGUAAUUCGACUGCCUGAAGAACUUCUGGUUUGCGAUUUGAGAUGUCUGGUAUGGAAUUUGAUAGAGGGGCGAGCGGCGAUCGCCGUCGCCGUCGCCGUCGCCGUCGGCCGGAAAAUAGAGAAGAAGGCAA